UAGGAUUUCUCUUGUGUAUCUCUGGCCUUUCCUGGAACUCACUCCGUAGACCAGGCUGGCUGGCCUCGAACUCACAGAGAACCACCUUCCUCUGCCUCCCUAAGUGCUGGGAUUAAAGGUGUGCACCACCAAUGCCUGGCUUUUAACACUAUCAAAACGGUGCACCUGCCCUGGCCGCCAGGUUGCCUGCCCUGGUCACUUCACCUAUAAUUAUUUCCCUCGUGUUUCUUAUGAAAUUUAAACCAGGUCACUUCCCCGUUUAUCCCAUCCCGUUUAUCUCCCUUACAUGAUAGGAUUUUUAUUAGUUCUCUUCCAUGUACCGAGCAAUAUACUACUGAAUUGUGCGUUCCAUUAACAGUUAGACGAGGCCGGGGGAUACAACAGUACCUAAGAUGCGUUCUCUUCACCACAGAUUUCUUGAAUGGAAGAAAAACGAGCAAACCAGAGGUGAGUGUCAUUCCUGCUGGAACCGAGUUCAAGAAGACAGGAAACAGGCCGGUGGUUCUUCCCGUCCCUUUGCAAUGGGAGGGGGGAGACGGUUGUUUGUUAUUCUUGACAUUGCAAUAGAAGUCUAAACAGAAGUUGUCCCUGCGCCACCACAGUAGACCGAGUGCUGGAACACUGUUCCGGAAUUAAACUAUAUGAUUUCCAGCAGCCCUCCCAGCGGAACUAUAAAUGCACAUUUUGGGGAGACCAUAGUUGAGUACUCACAAAUAUCCAUAGCAGAACAGCAACUCAGCAACAUCAGAUUCUUAUCCAAAGGCAUUACUGAAUGUGCUGGGCUUCGAUUUGGGGAACAAGAUUUUUUUUUUUUUAAGUACAUAGAUAGACCCAUGCAGGUAACUGUAUUGUUUACUAAGGGGGCUCGAAGGUCGAAGGUUAUUAGCUGAUACUGAAAGCAAUAAACACUAUUAUAGCAGAAACGAUGACCUAUGAUGCUUCUAAAUUCCACCCUGCACUUUCACCCAUGCUGCCUUUGACCUAUUCGUUUUGGCAAAACAUUGAAAAGAUUAACCAUGCCUUUUUAAUGACCCAGAACCUGUGCGGAGACAGCCUGGACUCGAUCCCUCCGAUUCUGAGUCUGAAUCAGUCCUUGUGCCCAGGCACCUAGCUGAUAUUCCCGUGUGUGUUGCGGUCAAAAUCAAAAGGGAAGAGAAGCGCUCAGGGUCACGUGAGUGCCAGUCACCACAGGUACUGAGCUGUGCUUGGGGCCGGCCAGGUGUGCCCGCCCUGCCCUGCGUCUCUCCUGCUUAGGAACAGACACGCCACGAGAGACUGGAGAAGAGCGAGGCGAGGGACAGGAAGGUCAUCCCGAUCCCAACCUCACUCCCCUGGAACGUCCGGGCGCGGCGAUUGCAGAGGACCAGGACAGCAGGGCCACACUGCCUGGGGCUUCACCGCGCGUCCGCGCUGCACCAAGCCGACUCCCAGGCGCCGCGGGCUCAAGGUCCCAGCCAAGGGAGAGGCCGACGUGUGUAAGUUGCGUUCUGGACAGUCCCAGCUGUGAUGCUGAAGAGCUCCGAGCCAGCGCUUGGCCAAGCCUCCCGCUAGAAUCCCGGGCAGAGACCGCCCUCGACCCGGCGCUGACAUUAUUCUGCAUAGCUCAACGGCUACUCGGGUCUCCGGUGCCCCAGUUGUGGCCGCUCUGCUUCCCUAGGGACUGGGGUCGUGGCAGACUGCCCACGCGCCGGGGAUCUGCACGCCUGGGGCCUGGACUCCCUUCAGAGACUCACACGCAGUGGUGAGUCCCGCGAAGGGCAAAGGAUGAUACCUACUGACCUCACUCCCGCCCCUUUCGUGUAUGUAACAUAUUGAGAGAGUCGUGAGGAACAACAAGGAGAAACUGCCAUGAUUUAUCAAGACAAGAAGUAAUCCUCGGGCAUCACAAGAUGAUUCAGGAUGGAUCCUGAAGCUGCCCAGCUAGAGAAACGGCACGUACAUGAUGUGUAUGAGAGCACCGCCCCCUACUUCAGCGAGCUGCAGAGCAAAGCUUGGCCGCGAGUCCGCCAGUUCCUGCAGGACCAGAAACCAGGCAGCCUCAUCGCUGACAUUGGCUGUGGAACUGGAAAGUACCUUAAAGUGAAUAGCCAAGUCCAUACCCUGGGCUGUGACUACUGCGGGCCUCUGGUGGAGAUUGCCCGGAACAGAGGGGGUGAAGUCAUGAUAUGUGACAACCUUAAUCUCCCCUUUAGGGACCAGGGCUUCGAUGCCAUCAUCUCCAUAGGAGUCAUUCAUCAUUUUUCUACAAAACAAAGAAGAAUUAGAGCCAUAAAGGAAAUGGCCAGGGUCUUAGCUCCUGGAGGCCAACUGAUGAUUUACGUUUGGGCAAUGGAACAGAAGAACCGACACUUCGAGAAGCAGGAUGUGCUUGUGCCGUGGAACAAUGCACUCUGCUCCCGGCUGCUCUCAGAAUCCCACCAGUCCUGGGGGCAUCAGUGUGGGCAUCCCAUGAGCCAAGGCUAUGAGGGUCCUGGCUCUGCAUGUGGCUGUGCAGUAUGUUUGAAGGGCAGGUGCGAUUCCAAGAGGUCCCACAGCAUGGACUAUGGGCCUGCGGUGACCAGAACCUGCUGUGAAGAUAUUCCGAAGGAUGGUGAGGAAGAGAAUGGAUUGUAUAACAAUUUUGGAAAAUCUCUUCGCUCCUGGUUUUUUUCCAGGUCUUUGGAUGAAUCAACCCUGAAGAAGCAAACUGAAAGAACAGGACCUAUGAAAAUCACAGAGAGUUGGGCCAAUAACACUGUGUCCCGUCAGCCUUCCAGACAGCCCAGUUUAGACUUCCAUCCCCAGGACCCAUUGUCAACCAAAGGACCAAACUUAGAUGAGGUAUUCGUAGACACAUGUUCUCAAAGACACUUGCGCUGCCUGGGACAAGCGGGCACUUCGGAGACCUUCAGUGGACACCAGGGAGGAGACAGCAGGAGGAAGGAGGGUGCCGAUUUUCUGGACAUCACUGACACCAGAGACAGUCGGGCUGCAGGUAACGUCAGUGAUCCUUCUGCCAGGAAAUUAUUAAGGAGAGUUUCUGCAUUCGACUCUACAGAUUCCCAAUCAGAAGACCCAAGUUACGCAGAGGAGCAGGAGGCAGCUCCGGACUCCAGAGCCUUCAUGCGCUACUACCACGUGUUCCGGGAAGGCGAGCUGUCCGGACUUCUGCAAGAGAGUGUGUCUGAGCUGCAGGUUCUGAGUGCUGGCAAUGAUCAUGGCAACUGGUGUAUCAUCGCAGAGAAAAGGGGGAGCUAGGAUUAAUUGCAUCGCUCGGGGCAGGGGCUUCAGAGGUUGACCAUCAUCUGUCCACUGGAGCUGAUGUGGGCACUCAAAUCAGCAUCCUGUUUCAUUGUUUUCAAAUCCAGGUGGUUCCUUAGAUCUUUGUGGACGGUAACAAGGACCCCUGCUCAGCUGCUGGGUAUGUAUUCUUUGAGGCUUGCUGCCGGGGUAUCUUGCUUCCAGGCUUUGCUUCUACCUACUUCAAG
RNA transcript from Alexandromys fortis (reed vole), 3467 nucleotides. It is a transcript of the gene named tRNA methyltransferase 9B (putative), with no coding region annotated. NCBI's taxonomy places the organism in Eukaryota, Metazoa, Chordata, Mammalia, Rodentia, Cricetidae. The transcript is spliced from 7 exons. The record is from RefSeq and is a predicted model, not a curated record.